AUUAUUUUAAGCUAUAUAUUAGGAGUAAAUAAAAUUUAUGAAAUUAAAAAAUUUUGGCGGUAUUUUAAGCUUAUUAGAGGAAUUUGCUCUGUGAUGGACACAACGCCUUAAUCUUACUUAAUUUAGUAAUUUAAAUCAGUUUGUAUACCACUAUAUUAAUUAUAUUGAAUAGUUAUAUUUAAAAUUUUUUUAAAAAAAUAUAUUAAGUCAAGGUGCAUCUAAUAAUUAUGAAUGAAGUGAAUUACAUUAAUUUUAAUGUAAUUUUUUAUAUGAAAAAAUUAAUUAGGAUUUAAUAGUAAAAUACUAAUAUUAUGAGUA
This 318-nucleotide ribosomal RNA is filed under the name Ixodes scapularis (black-legged tick). Its description in RNAcentral is "partial 12S ribosomal RNA". Lineage: Eukaryota; Metazoa; Arthropoda; Arachnida; Ixodida; Ixodidae. The record is from RNAcentral.